AGCAGCCGCGGUAAUUCCAGCUCCAAUAGCGUAUAUUAAAGUUGUUGCAGUUAAAAAGCUCGUAGUUGAAUUUCGAGACCGGUUUACUGGUCGUGCUUUUGUACGUACUGGUAUUAUUGGUUUCUCCUUUCUGACGAAUCAUAAUGCCAUUAAUUUGGUGUUUUGGGGAAUCAGGACUGUUACUUUGAAAAAAUUAGAGUGUUUAAAGCAGGCUCACGCUUGAAUACAUUAGCAUGGAAUAACGAAAUAGGACGUUUGAUUUUAUUUUGUUGGUUUCUAGGAUCGACGUAAUGAUUAAUAGGGAUAGUUGGGGGCAUUAGUAUUCAAUUGUCAGAGGUGAAAUUCUUGGAUUUAUUGAAGACUAACUACUGCGAAAGCAUUUGCCAAGGAUGUUUUCAUUAAUCAAGAACGAAAGUUAGGGGAUCGAAGACGAUCAGAUACCGUCGUAGUCUUAACCAUAAACUAUGCCGACUAGGGAUCGGAUGAUGUUAAUUUUUAAUGACUCAUUCGGCGC
Molecule: ribosomal RNA, 514 nt
Filed under: uncultured Glomus
Lineage: Eukaryota; Fungi; Glomeromycota; Glomeromycetes; Glomerales; Glomeraceae
Description: SSU rRNA
Rfam family: Eukaryotic small subunit ribosomal RNA
Source: RNAcentral